UACGUAGGCAGCAAGCGUUGUUCGGAGUUACUGGGCGUAAAGAGUGCGUAGGCGGUUCGCCAAGUCUGGUGUGAAAUCUCCCGGCUUAACCGGGAGGGUGCGCCGGAAACUGGCGGGCUCGAGUGUGGGAGAGGAAAGCGGAAUUCCUGGUGUAGCGGUGAAAUGCGUAGAUAUCAGGAGGAACACCGGUGGUGUAGACGGCUUUCUGGACCACUACUGACGCUGAGGCACGAAAGCGUGGGGAG
This 245-nucleotide ribosomal RNA is filed under the name uncultured bacterium. Its description in RNAcentral is "partial 16S ribosomal RNA". It matches the Rfam family "Bacterial small subunit ribosomal RNA", at positions 524 to 768 of the family's 1533-position model. The record is from RNAcentral.